RNAcentral lists this ribosomal RNA (274 nucleotides) under uncultured bacterium. RNAcentral's name for it is "partial 16S ribosomal RNA". It matches the Rfam family "Bacterial small subunit ribosomal RNA", at positions 523 to 796 of the family's 1533-position model. The record is from RNAcentral.
AUACGGAGGGUGCAAGCGUUACUCGGAAUCACUGGGCGUCAAGCGCGCGCAGGCGGCUAUUUAAGUUGGAUGUGAAAGCCUACGGCUCAACCGUAGAACUGCAUCCAAAACUAUUUAGCUAGAGUGUGGGAGAGGAAGAUGGAAUUAGUUGUGUAGGGGUAAAAUCCGUAGAGAUAACUAGGAAUACCAAAAGCGAAGGCAAUCUUCUGGAACACUACUGACGCUGAGGCGCGAAAGCGUGGGGAGCAAACGGGAUUAGAAACCCUAGUAGUCC